This 75-nucleotide transfer RNA is filed under the name Candidatus Kaiserbacteria bacterium. RNAcentral describes it as "tRNA-Arg". It matches the Rfam family "tRNA". Rfam says of the family: Transfer RNA (tRNA) molecules are approximately 80 nucleotides in length. RNAcentral also lists the same sequence under 1 other name. Lineage: Bacteria; Candidatus Kaiseribacteriota. The record is from RNAcentral.
GCACCCGUGGUGAAAUGGAUAUCAUUACUGACUUCGGAUCAGUCGUUGGGGGUUCGAGUCCCUCCGGGUGCACCA